This 497-nucleotide ribosomal RNA is filed under the name uncultured bacterium. RNAcentral describes it as "partial 16S ribosomal RNA". It matches the Rfam family "Bacterial small subunit ribosomal RNA", at positions 28 to 507 of the family's 1533-position model. The record is from RNAcentral.
GAUGAACGCUGGCGGCGUGCCUAAUACAUGCAAGUCGAGCGAACAGACGAGGAGCUUGCUCCUCUGACGUUAGCGGUGGACGGGUGAGUAACACGUGGAUAACCUACCUAUAAGACUGGGAUAACUUCGGGAAACCGGAGCUAAUACCGGAUAAUAUAUUGAACCGCAUGGUUCAAUAGUGAAAGACGGUUUUGCUGUCACUUAUAGAUGGAUCCGCGCCGCAUUAGCUAGUUGGUAAGGUAACGGCUUACCAAGGCGACGAUGCGUAGCCGACCUGAGAGGGUGAUCGGCCACACUGGAACUGAGACACGGUCCAGACUCCUACGGGAGGCAGCAGUAGGGAAUCGUCCGCAAUGGGCGAAAGCCUGACGGAGCAACGCCGCGUGAGUGAUGAAGGUCUUCGGAUCGUAAAACUCUGUUAUUAGGGAAGAACAAAUGUGUAAGUAACUAUGCACGUCUUGACGGUACCUAAUCAGAAAGCCACGGCUAACUACGUG